This 111-nucleotide transfer RNA is filed under the name Danio rerio (zebrafish). It matches the Rfam family "tRNA". Rfam says of the family: Transfer RNA (tRNA) molecules are approximately 80 nucleotides in length. Their secondary structure includes four short double-helical elements and three loops (D, anti-codon, and T loops). Further hydrogen bonds mediate the characteristic L-shaped molecular structure. tRNAs have two regions of fundamental functional importance: the anti-codon, which is responsible for specific mRNA codon recognition, and the 3' end, to which the tRNAs corresponding amino acid is attached (by aminoacyl-tRNA synthetases). tRNAs cope with the degeneracy of the genetic code in two manners: having more than one tRNA (with a specific anti-codon) for a particular amino acid; and 'wobble' base-pairing, i.e. permitting non-standard base-pairing at the 3rd anti-codon position. The record is from Rfam by way of RNAcentral. Lineage: Eukaryota; Metazoa; Chordata; Actinopteri; Cypriniformes; Danionidae.
GUCAGAAUGGUCGAGUGGUCUAAGACGCCAGACUUAAGGUGAUAUAACCUUCUUAAGUAGUGAGAAUUGUGGUCUUCAGCUGGAGUUUGGGUUCAAAUCCAACUUUUUACA